RNAcentral lists this ribosomal RNA (793 nucleotides) under uncultured bacterium. RNAcentral describes it as "bacterial SSU rRNA". It matches the Rfam family "Bacterial small subunit ribosomal RNA", at positions 8 to 796 of the family's 1533-position model. The record is from RNAcentral.
AGAGUUUGAUCAUGGCUCAGAUUGAACGCUGGCGGCAGGCCUAACACGUGCAAGUCGAGCGGUAGAGAGAAGCUUGCUUCUCUUGAGAGCGGCGGACGGGUGAGUAAUGCCUAGGAAUCUGCCUGGUAGUGGGGGAUAACGUCCGGAAACGGACGCUAAUACCGCAUACGUCCUACGGGAGAAAGCAGGGGACCUUCGGGCCUUGCGCUAUCAGAUGAGCCUAGGUCGGAUUAGCUAGUUGGUGGGGUAAUGGCUCACCAAGGCGACGAUCCGUAACUGGUCUGAGAGGAUGAUCCGCCACACUGGAACUGAGACACGGUCCAGACUCCUACGGGAGGCAGCAGUGGGGAAUUUUGGACAAUGGGCGCAAGCCUGAUCCAGCCAUGCCGCGUGAGUGAAGAAGGCCUUCGGGUUGUAAAGCUCUUUCAGCCGGGAAGAAAACGCAUGGGUUAAUACCCUGUGUGGAUGACGGUACCGGAAUAAGAAGCACCGGCUAACUACGUGCCAGCAGCCGCGGUAAUACGUAGGGUGCGAGCGUUAAUCGGAAUUACUGGGCGUAAAGCGUGCGCAGGCGGUUUGUUAAGAUAGGCGUGAAAUCCCCGGGCUCAACCUGGGAACUGCGUUUAUGACUGGCAGGCUAGAGUAUGGCAGAGGGGGGUGGAAUUCCACGUGUAGCAGUGAAAUGCGUAGAGAUGUGGAGGAACACCGAUGGCGAAGGCAGCCCCCUGGGCCAAUACUGACGCUCAUGCACGAAAGCGUGGGUAGCAAACAGGAUUAGAUACCCUGGUAGUCC